RNAcentral lists this ribosomal RNA (2318 nucleotides) under Ampithoe rubricata. Its description in RNAcentral is "18S ribosomal RNA". It matches the Rfam family "Eukaryotic small subunit ribosomal RNA". Lineage: Eukaryota; Metazoa; Arthropoda; Malacostraca; Amphipoda; Ampithoidae. The record is from RNAcentral.
CCUACCUGGUUGAUCCUGCCAGUAGUCAUAUGCUUGUCUCAAAGAUUAAGCCAUGCAUGUCUAAGUCCAAGCUGUGUUUACACGGCGAGACCGCGGACGGCUCAUUAAAUCAGUCGUGGUCCAAAUGGGAUAGUCCAAUGUACUUGGAUAACUGUGGUGAUUCCAGAGCUAAUACAUGCAACUGAAACCUCGAUGGGAGCCCUUCUUUCGGUCGCUUGCCGUCCGUUGGUUGGAUCCUUCCUGACAGGUGCUUUUAUUAGACCAAUCCGCUGGUGGCCGAGUUGUUCUAAUGAGGCGCGUGCACGGGCUACCGGCUUUGCCGUGUUGUUCGCGAGGCGUGUUCUCGAGGGCUCUCGGUCAGACUUGCUUUGUGGUGACUCUGGAUAACCUUCUGUUGACAAGCGCACGUACCCCUCUCACGAGCGGGACGGCGCUGCCACUUUCGAGUGUCUGCCUUAUCAGCUGUCAAUCGCUCGCUACACGCGACCGAUGGCUUUGACGGGUAACGGGGAAUCAGGGUUCGAUUCCGGAGAGGCAGCCUGAGAGACGGCUACCACGUCCAAGGACGGCAGCAGGCACGCAAAUUACCCAAUCCCAGCACAUGGGGGAGGUAGUGACGAAAUCUAACGAUGCGGGCGCCCUUCCAGGGCCCCGCAAUCGGAAUGAGCACUUUCUAAACAACCUGUUGAGAACCUACUGAAGGGCAAGUCUGGUGCCAGCAGCCGCGGUAAUUCCAGCUUCAGUAGCAUAUAUUAAAGUUGCUGCGGUUAAAAGGCUCGUAGUUGGAUGUCAGUGCCGGGCGUCGGUCAGGUGGACGCUGGAGCGUGAGGACAAAAGUUGCGUUCGUGUGUGGGUUCUGGGCAACCAGUUCGUGCGCGCGGGCGUGGCUCUCACAAGCUCCCGUCCGUAACAAGCCUCCGCGCCUGAGUACAUGGAGAGACUUUUUGGAAUGUGUGUCGUCCUUCGCGGGUCGCGCGCACUUCUCCUCUGGUUUCAGUGUCACCCUGAGUAAAUCAGAGUGCUCAAAGCAGUCGUAACGCUUACGCCCUGUGAACAGUCUUGACGGACUGACUUGGUUUUGCAUGGCAUGUCGGAAGACGACGUCGGGCGCUGGCUAAGAGUGUACAAAUCAGUGGUAAAAGCCAGCCCCGACGUCAUGAUUAAAAGGGCUUGUCGAGGGCAUUGGUAUUGCGGAGCGAGAGGUGAAAUUCUGUGACCUCCGCAAGACCUCCUGAAGCGAAAGCGUCUGCCAAGGAUGUUUUCAUUAAUCAUGAACGAAAGUUAGAGGAUCGAAGGCGAUCAGAUACCGCCCUAGUUCUAACCCUAAACGAUGCCAACCAUCAAUCCGCGCGAGCACCCUUUUAUACGGGCUCGGCGGGCAGCUCCUUUCACGGGAAACCAGAGUCUCUGGGUUCCGGGGGGAGUCUGGUUGCAAAGCUGAAACUUAAAGGAAUUGACGGAAAGGCACCACCAGGCGUGGCCUGCGGCUUAAUUUGACUCAACACGGGCCAUCCCACCAGGCCAGCACUCUAGCAUGAUUGACAGAUUGAGAGCUCUUUCUCGAUUUAGUGGAUGGUGGUGCAUGGCCGUUCUUAGUUGGUGGAGUGAUCUGUCUGGUUAAUUCCGAUAACGAACGAGACUCUCCCCUGCUAACUAGUCGGUUGGAUCUUGAUUCGCGAGUAAUGCGCCCUGGCGGUGUCUUCUCACGGCUGUGCGUGGAAGGAGAGCGGGUCUCAGUGCGGGGUGCUUCGGUGCUUGCGCGGGGGCUUGUCUUUUCUCUCCCGCAUGCCUGGGAGCCCCUGGGUAGUGCACACUCCAAGUCCGCCGCUUAUGCUGUAAGUCUUCUUAGAGGGAUCCACGGCUCUGAAGCCGUCAGAGACUGAGAGCAAUAACAGGUCUGUGAUGCCCUUAGAUGCUCUGGGCCGCACGCGCGCUACAAUGCCGGGCACAGCAGGUGAUCUUCCUUCUCCGAGAGGAGCAGGUAACCCUCUGAAAGCCCUUCUGUCUCAUGGUGUCGCGUCUCUCGUCUUUCGGGGCGGAGCGCGCAAGGCGUGCUUGGGCCUGGAGCUUGCAAUUUUUCUCCACAAACGAGGAAUGCCUAGUAGCGGUGGGUCACUGAGCCCACCGUGACUCAGUCCCUGCCCUUUGUACACACCGCCCGUCGCUACUACCGAUUGGGUGUACCAGUGAGAGCCUUGGACUGGCGGCCGUUGCCCUUCGGGCAAGCGGUUUCGACUGAAAGAGGUCCGAACUGGUGCACUUAGAGGAAGUAAAAGUCGUAACAAGGUUUCCGUAGUGAACCUGCGGAAGGAUCAUUA